CGGGGUGUAGCGCAGCCUGGCAGCGCGGGUGAAUGGGGUUCACCAGGUCCCGGGUUCGAAUCCCGGCACCCCGA
This 74-nucleotide transfer RNA is filed under the name Chloroflexota bacterium. RNAcentral's name for it is "Chloroflexi bacterium tRNA-Pro". It matches the Rfam family "tRNA". From Rfam's summary of the family: Transfer RNA (tRNA) molecules are approximately 80 nucleotides in length. Their secondary structure includes four short double-helical elements and three loops (D, anti-codon, and T loops). Lineage: Bacteria; Bacillati; Chloroflexota. The record is from RNAcentral. RNAcentral also lists the same sequence under 1 other name.